GUACAUUUUGAUCCACAAGUGUAAAAUAGCAUCUAUAAAGAGAGUUAUUUUUCCAGUGUUUUCCAGUUGCUGCAUGUGGAGAAAAUUAUCUUUUAUCUCUUCAUAAACGUAAAGUCAAGAAGAAAUUUUCCAUCGAAGACAAGGAUCUGGUAUUACAAGAUGACACAGGUGUGGAGGUUGAUGAGGAUAUUUUCUCUGACGUGCUGGAGGAGAAAUCUCAUGAUAUUCUUUGGAGAGUUGUUGACCAAGAUUCAGGAAAGUGUCUAUGAUGUACAAAUACUUCCCUAGCACACGUCAUUAAAUUCUUUAAAGAAAUAGUUACCCAUAAAUAAACAAAUUCUCACUCUUUCAUGACAAAUCUAUAUUAGUUUUUUUCUGUGGAACACUUAAUUUGAAUAAUGUUGCACUUUAAAAAUUGCUGCCUUUAGUUCACCCCAAAAUGAAAAUUCUGUCAUUAAUCAUCAAACCCAUUUGUAACGAGUUGUCACACGAGUUGGGAUCCAUCAGCAGGCUUUAUUAACAGAUAGCGUGGUACAAACAGGCAGGGGUCAGACAGGGGCAAACAGGGAGCAGGGAACAGGCAGAAUCGUAGUUGUAGUACAGGCAUGGAAUCAGGGCAGGCAGAUAAGGGUCACAGUCCAAGCAAACAACAAACAGUCCAAAGGUAGGCAGGAGAAACUCAGGCAGGCAUCAGCAACAGUCAGAAAAUCAGAAUAGUAAACUCUCAAAAAUGUACACCGUGGCAAUACAAGACCUUGCAAAGAUGGUGAGUUUGCGAGUGGCUUAAAUAGUCCAGUAGAUGAGCGGCAGCUGGGUGUGGUGAUUAGUCCAAAGUACGGGGCAGAUGGGAAAUGUAGUGCGUGUGAAUGUAAGAGUGAAUGUGAGUGUAUGCGUGUGUGCUAGUAUUCGGGAGAGGGCACCCACUGAUGGUCAGAGGAGGGAAUCAAGGAGUUCGUCUCUGUGACAGAGACCCCCCUCCCCCCAUGAGUAUGAGCUCUGUUCUAUGUAGCCUCACUCCGAUUCAUCCAGUCGUUAACUGCAGGGACAUUGGUUGGUUUGCCAGUCCAGGGGAACAGAGGUGGUUGAAAACCAAGGAUGCACUGAAAUGGAGUUAAACCAGUUGCUGCCUUGCAAAUAGAGUUCUGUGCAUAUUCUGCCCACAGGGGAUAUCUGGACCAGUCAUUUUGGUGGUGGUUGCAGUAGGAACAGAGGAAUUGAGUAAGUUCUUGGUUCAACCGCUCAAUUUGCCUGUUAGACUGUGGGUGGUAUCCAGAAGUGAGGCUGACGUUAAUAUUGAGUGCCUGGCAGAAGGCUGACCAGAGGCGUGAGGAAAAUCAGAAGAUUUGUAUGUUCGACUAUGGAGGUAGAGGGUAAUUGCUGAAGGAAUGACAGGAGACCACAAUUAAGUGUCCGAAUAGGUUGGCUCGCCAUCAAAGAAAAUCAAUCUCCCCUGAGGAAAAAAAACCUGACCUGUUUAAAAGGUCAGAAAUGCAUGACUGCAUUUAGUCAACAAUAGCAUCACAUCAGGCACGUGUGUAUUACCGCGACAUGCACGUGAAGCGUGCACGUGAAAAAGAACGACACCACAUGAGAACAACUGAACAGCGCUACGAAUUUGUAUUAUAAUAUACAAAAAUACAACAUAAAUCACACAUAUGACCAUAAUAAACAAAAUAAACAACUGUUUUCCUUACAAAA
Long non-coding RNA from Megalobrama amblycephala (Wuchang bream), 1698 nucleotides. RefSeq lists it as uncharacterized. Lineage: Eukaryota; Metazoa; Chordata; Actinopteri; Cypriniformes; Xenocyprididae. The record is from RefSeq and is a predicted model, not a curated record. The transcript is spliced from 4 exons.